ACCUGCGGAGGGAUCAUUACUGAGUUACCGCUCUAUAACCCUUUGUGAACAUACCUACAACUGUUGCUUCGGCGGGUAGGCCGUCCCCUGAAAAGGACGCCUCCCGGCCCGGACCGGACCCCCCGCGGGACCGGACCCGGCGCCCGCCGGAGGAUAACCAAACUCUAUUGUAACGACGUUUCUUCUGAGUGGCAUAAGCAAAAUAAUCAAAACUUUUAACAACGGAUCUCUUGGUUCUGGCAUCGAUGAAGAACGCAGCGAAAUGCGAUAAGUAAUGUGAAUUGCAGAAUUCAGUGAAUCAUCGAAUCUUUGAACGCACAUUGCGCCCGCCAGCAUUCUGGCGGGCAUGCCUGUUCGAGCGUCAUUUCAACCCUCAAGCUCUGCUUGGUGUUGGGGCUCUACGGUCGACGUAGGCCCUCAAAGGUAGUGGCGGACCCUCCCGGAGCCUCCUUUGCGUAGUAACAUUUCGUCUCGCACUGGGAUCCGGAGGGACUCUUGCCGUAAAACCCCCCAAUUUUCCAAAGGUUGACCUCGGAUCAGGUAGGAAUACCCGCUGAACUUAAGCAUAU
This 569-nucleotide ribosomal RNA is filed under the name Colletotrichum karsti. Its description in RNAcentral is "eukaryotic LSU rRNA". The stretch from base 211 to 364 matches the Rfam family "5.8S ribosomal RNA". The record is from RNAcentral. Lineage: Eukaryota; Fungi; Ascomycota; Sordariomycetes; Glomerellales; Glomerellaceae.